AUUGAACGCUGGCGGCAUGCCUUACACAUGCAAGUCGAACGGCAGCACGGGUGCUUGCACCUGGUGGCGAGUGGCGAACGGGUGAGUAAUACAUCGGAACAUGUCCUGUAGUGGGGGAUAGCCCGGCGAAAGCCGGAUUAAUACCGCAUACGAUCUACGGAUGAAAGCGGGGGACCUUCGGGCCUCGCGCUAUAGGGUUGGCCGAUGUCUGAUUAGCUAGUUGGUGGGGUAAAGGCCUACCAAGGCGACGAUCAGUAGCUGGUCUGAGAGGACGACCAGCCACACUGGGACUGAGACACGGCCCAGACUCCUAAGGGAGGCAGCAGUGGGGAAUUUUGGACAAAGGGCGAAAGCCUGAUCCAGCAAUGCCGCGUGUGUGAAGAAGGCCUUCGGGUUGUAAAGCACUUUUGUCCGGAAAGAAAUCCUUGGCCCUAAUACGGUCGGGGGAUGACGGUACCGGAAGAAUAAGCACCGGCUAACUACGUG
Molecule: ribosomal RNA, 486 nt
Filed under: uncultured bacterium
Lineage: Bacteria
Description: partial 16S ribosomal RNA
Rfam family: Bacterial small subunit ribosomal RNA
Source: RNAcentral